Molecule: transfer RNA, 70 nt
Filed under: Cordylochernes scorpioides
Lineage: Eukaryota; Metazoa; Arthropoda; Arachnida; Pseudoscorpiones; Chernetidae
Description: tRNA-Thr
Source: RNAcentral
AUGUCCAGGGAUGGGAUUCGAACCUACAGUGUCCGCUUACCAGGCAGAUACCAUGUCCACUAGGCUGUUA